RNAcentral lists this ribosomal RNA (492 nucleotides) under uncultured bacterium. RNAcentral describes it as "partial 16S ribosomal RNA". It matches the Rfam family "Bacterial small subunit ribosomal RNA", at positions 30 to 507 of the family's 1533-position model. The record is from RNAcentral.
AUUGAACGCUGGCGGCAUGCUUUACACAUGCAAGUCGAACGGUAACAGGCCUUCGGGUGCUGACGAGUGGCGAACGGGUGCGUAAUGCAUCGGAACGUGCCCAGAGGUGGGGGAUAACGCAGCGAAAGCUGUGCUAAUACCGCAUGUGAUCUGAGGAUGAAGGCCGGGGACCAAGCAGCAAUGUUUGGCCUCGCGCCUCUGGAGCGGCCGAUGUCAGAUUAGGUAGUUGGUGGGGUAAAGGCCUACCAAGCCGACGAUCUGUAGCUGGUCUGAGAGGAGGACCAGCCACACUGGGACUGAGACACGGCCCAGACUCCUACGGGAGGCAGCAGUGGGGAAUUUUGGACAAUGGGCGCAAGCCUGAUCCAGCAAUGCCGCGUGCGGGAAGAAGGCCUUCGGGUUGUAAACCGCUUUUGUACGGAACGAAAAGGCUCUGGCUAAUACCUGGGGCUGAUGACGGUACCGUAAGAAUAAGCACCGGCUAACUACGUG